UAAACAGUUUUGCUCAAGUAGGGCAUCCAAUUACUACAAACCUUGUUUGGUAUAAAAACUAACUGCAUAGAAAAAUAUUGCCUUAGCAAGGUUUAACUGGUUGUUAAUCCAAACAUGUGGGAGAGCCCGAAUUCCAGGGCUCAAAAUAUCCUCCCGAUUCUCAGCAGCAUCCGAACGUCCAGAGAUCAUAAUCAUCACUCUCAACGAGGCGUGACUCAGAGGUAUCGUAUGGAAAGAGGACAUUUCCAGAAAAACCAUGGUAUGGAAACCAAGCCUGCGGGGAGAGGCAAGGCGUCCCUUAGGUGGCAGUUGGCAGUCAGAAAGAUCCUAAACGACUUUGGAGCCAUUUGAGUGGAAAGGAACGUGAAGUGUCAGCUUACCCCAGCGCACAGACACAGCAGCCCUGCCACAGGGCAGCAGGCUCCUGGCUCAGCUCACUGGAUUCCCUGCCACAGGCAAUACACUCAACUCAAAGAAUCAUGGAGUACCAGGAGACUUGGCCUACAGAAUCAUCGGCUCCACCACCCCUCUCUCUGCUGGCUAGCAGGCAGAUAACAAAAUCAUCCUACCAUGUUGAUUCAUGCAGAUCACAUUAACUUAAGAAUUCCAAAGACGGGGAUUUCAUAAUCCUCCCUGGUUGUUCAUUCCAAUCUCACAGCCCUAUCAACCAAGACCUUCUUCAUCUCUCACCCUAAUCUCCCCUGAUGCAAUUCUAGCCUCUCAGUUUUUUUCUGUCUUCACUAGAAAUGAAAAACAGAUGGACACCAUAUUCUGCAUAAUAACCCGUCAUAAACUGGGGGACCAUUAUUAAAUCAACCGAUCAACUAGGUCCUUGUCUUCUUCGGGUUAAAUGACGCCAGUGCCUUCAGCUUUCCUCAUAGUUGCUGGUUUCUAACUCUUAUUAUUUUCAUGACCCUAUGUCACUCAAAUUGUAGAGGCCUGAACUCGAAAUUUUAUAAGGAUUCAACUAAUACUAACUAAAUGCGUGUGUGUGUGAGUUUGUGUAUGUUCGUGUAGGAGGGAGGUUUAGCUCACAGUUCCAACGAGUUAAUUCUUUUAACUUUUUCUUUGUGAAGGAUAUCAGAAAGAGUUUAUAUAACAUACACGCACAGUUUAAAAAAGCAAAAUGAAAUGAGAGCGCAUGCACCCACCACAAGUUAUUUUUGCUAUUAAAACUAAGCUUGUGUUUGAUUUUGCUUUAUUUGAGAGGGGGUGGAAGGUGAUUACAUUUUAAAUCACAUUUACAUUUGGAUUUCAUGGAUUAGAUUUUAAACCAAUGAUACUUUUUUAACUCGUACACACGUUUGUUAUAGCCUCCUUCAAAUCUGACAAAAUGUAGCCGAGGCGUGAAAAUUUAAUAUGACAGCACAUUCUAAAAAGUCCCAACCUACGUCAAGAAGUCUUUAAAAGGGGGGAUGUUUCGAAGGAGACAAGUUUUAUUAAGAGUCUAGUUCUCUAUUAUUAAAAUAUUCAUGUCUGAGCUAAAACAAUGUUUUCAUCAGGAAAUGUCAGGAAACAGGCCAUUUAAUCAUGUUUCUCUCAGAUGAUAUUUGAUGGUAUCACUCCCAUCAUUCAAACAAACUGCCAAGAAGCAGAUGUGCCUGGGAUCCAAGCGAGUUAGAGAUUCAAAACUCCCUAGAGUUAUUGUCAGGCAUUUUCUACUUCUUAUCAGUCCAAAAGAUACCACUUCAUGAAAACGUCUGAAAUUAGUAACACCAACCAAUCGCCAUCAUUUUGUAUGCUUUAGAGAAAAAUAUGUUAGUGAGGUGCCAUUGUAUCAUUGAUACAUAGCUUUCCGUUUAUAGAAAGCUGAUCCAUCUGAAUCUGCUAGAGUCAAAAGCCAAAGAGCUUCCUGGAGAUAAAGCCACAACUUUCAGUUCAAAGAUUUGCAAGUGCUUGUUCUCAAGAGUCUGAUAUUCCUACCUCUCUCAUCACAGAGGGCCUAUCCUGUGCCUAACUGAAGAAAAGGCCUCAGUUUACCUUCUUGGCUCUACUUCUUCCAGAGCUCUUGGUUGUCAACUUUUCAUGUUGUAAAAAACAGUCGGAAG
Callithrix jacchus (white-tufted-ear marmoset) is the source of this 2048-nucleotide long non-coding RNA. The record is from Ensembl. Lineage: Eukaryota; Metazoa; Chordata; Mammalia; Primates; Cebidae.